AUCAUUUGCCCUUUAAUUGGGGGCUGGUAUGAAUGGGUGAACGAGGGCUUUUCUGUCUCGUUGGUACUUAUAGAAAUUAACCCCCAGGUGAAGAGGCCUGGAUACUUAUGAAAGACAAGAAGACCCUGUCGAGCUCUGCACCCUUUUAACUCUCCACAUAUCUAGGACAGAGAGCCGCUAUAUUGGGUGCUCGUUGGGGCGACGAGAGGGAAAAAAACACACCACUUUUUUAUUAGAUUUAUCUAUCACCAAAUGACCCACUUCAUGGAUCAAGAGACAAAGCNACCGCAGGGAUAACAGGCUAAUCCUCUCAGAAGUCCCA
RNAcentral lists this ribosomal RNA (322 nucleotides) under Pharyngocirrus sonomacus. RNAcentral describes it as "partial 16S ribosomal RNA". It matches the Rfam family "Bacterial large subunit ribosomal RNA", at positions 1964 to 2502 of the family's 2925-position model. Lineage: Eukaryota; Metazoa; Annelida; Polychaeta; Saccocirridae. The record is from RNAcentral.